GAGACCCAAAGAGCUGGAGAGGAACAGAUCAAAUCCAAACAACAUUACAUGCAGAAGCAUCAGAGGAUGCUGCAGUCCCAGACUGUGUUUAGGAAACUCAGGAGCUGGGGGAAGUUUCUGCUACAUGGGAGUUGUACCUGAAAUUUGGCACUGAGGGCUUUGGAAAGGAUAUUGCUUAAAAGGCACAAACCAAUACUGGUAUAAAGGAACCUCACAGGUCCCAACAAACCCCAAAUUACCAUAGCCCAUGCAAAAAUUGAGCAUUAAAACUGAGACUACUCAAAAUUCAUUCUCAAUAAGAGCAGUUCAGAUCAGAUUCACACCUUCUCUGGAAGCUGACACUUGGAAUUUACAUUUAUCCCUCAAUUGCUUCUGUGGAAAUAGGAAAACCACCAAAAUGAAUCUCGGGAAUCAAUCCAGAUCUUUGUAGCACUCCAACUAGGCAUAUCCUAAACCCUGGCUGGUGGGAGAGGGAAGCCACACUGUCUUUCUUGUUCAGUUAGCAAUACCCCAGAGCACACUGAAAAUAAUUAUUUCCAUCUGCCACACACAACCUAUAAACCUGAAAAUGGUACUGCUACUAGAAAUCUAAUACACCAGUGAGCAACCAGAAGCAACCUACUGCUUUCAUUUGUGAUUAGCCACAAAGCUGUGGAGAUGCCACAAGUGCAGUUCACUGUUAGCCUAUGCUUGUUAGGGUGAAUGUUUAGUGCAAGUCUCCAGACAGAGCAGUGUAUCAAGCAACAGCUGGUAGAGGACAGAAGUAUAGAAAAUGCCCAACCACUGCAGAAAUCACUUUUUUCCCUUUCAGUCUGCCUUUUAGAAGUAUUAGACUAGUAAAUUUUUCCUCUUCUUUUGAGAAAAAGCUGGUAAUGAGCCAAUUAUCUAUUUGAAGAAAGACAACCGCUUUGAGAUUAUGAAGUUCUUUGUGCAAACAGCCACUCUUUGUAAUAAAAAGUAAUUUCAGGAUAAAUGUGUAAGACUUCAGCAGGUACAAACAUAAAUUGAAGCACAGCAGUUGCCAUAGUUCAGCCCCUAAAAUCCUCAGGUACUUAUAUGAUCACCAUUUCUGAGAUUAUUGCCCAUUAUCAACCAGAGCAGAGAUGUCACUCCAUUGAUGCAUUUGUACAGAAAUGCAUCAAUGCCUUUCAUUCCUGCACAUCUGACUCAAGCUGCUGCACCCAUGCAUCUGCACCACUGCAACCCUCCCUUUCUAACAAGAGCAUGUGCUGGGUGGGGAAGAGAAGAAAGGAUGAAAACACACCUUUUCUAACAGAAGAGUCUUAGGAGCACUUGUAAAAAGCAAAGUCCUCACAUUUGCUAGAAAUAAUAUUUUAGUUGAUAAAGAAUCUGCAGUUACUAAAGUCAUCCUAUGAUUCCCCAUGAAUUGCUCAAUAACUGGGAAGUGGACUGGCUAGAAGCAAACAGGCUAAGGAGCCACUCUCCCAUUGUUAAAACAAUUGGGAUGUCUCAAGACCCUCAAUUACAAACUAACUCUUGUGGUCUGAUCUUGCUGAAAUAUUUUGGGUAUUGUGUUUUUGCCAGUCCAAGGAAUUCUUUCUUUUUUUUGACAAAAGAGGCAAAAGCAAUAGAUCUGAAUGAUGAAUCCCCAAACAGUCACACCCCUAAUCAGAUUGAACAGGACCUUUGUCUCAGACUGCAAUAUUCAUCCCUCUCUUUCUGAUUUCCUGGGAGCUGUAUUUGUCAGACACAGUACUCUUCAGAAGGGAAAGAAGGAUCCAGAAUCUAAAAUAUUAGGAAUGCCACCUCCCACAAACCAUACAUACUAACCUCAACCUUAUCAAAGCAGACAGGAAAAGCUGAGGGUGCUGCACCGUGUUGGUUCAAAUUAAACAAGCCAAGCAAAAGAUUUUUAAAAUUUUAUUUAUGAGAUGUGAAGAAGUUGCCUUCUACUCGCCAAACCAUAGUGCUAAAUACCAAAGACACUGUGAAAGGGGCGCCUCUAUUAUUCAAAAAAUAUUUGUAUGCUUUUGGUGGAUUAAUUGCAUUUAACAUUUUGGUUAAACACACAAACAAGCACAGCUUUUUGUUGUUGCUUCAAAUGAAGCCACAAAGAGAACAAAAGGCAUCCAACUGAACCAAUUUAGGUUUAUAAGCAUAUUAAUUUUAAGAGCACUAUGUGUACACUUAAAAUGAAUUUAAAGCAGUCGACCUUUGCAGUACGAUGCCCAUUUUCACUGUAUCCAAAUUAUCCAUAAAUCCAGAUGCAAGUUGUCACAGACACUUCUUUGGAGAGCUUGCAAAGUUAAAAGUUAAUGUUUCCUAUUAAUUAAUAAUUGUUUUCAGCUGUUUUGGCAAGUGAUUAAAACAAAGUGUCUGCCUUUAAUGUUACAGUAUAAAAGUUUUCUUCCUCAGUGGCUUGAGUGCCAAGUGGGAUUUGCCUCAUUUGCAGGAAGGUGUCACACGUGAUUGCUUGGGGCAUUUGUAAGCAAACGAGGGGAGCAGCUAUUGUACCUGCCAGCGAAGUGACUUCCAUUCCACAUCGGCCUGGUUCUGGCCAGGACAGGGUUAAUUUUUGGAGGUUAUUCUGUACCCCCUCGCGUCAUUUUCCAGGACAGGGGAAGUGCUCCCUUCUGGACUAGUGUAGUGGUGGAGGGAGCAGCUGGGUGUUGUCAGGGGGUCUCCGUGUGAAUCAUUCACCUUUCUUGUGCCUUCUGUCGUUAAUAUUGCUGCUCCAACUGUUGUUUUUUUCGUGUCAUUGCUGUUUCCAGUUCUCAUCUCAGCCCAUGAUCUUUACCUUUUGUGCCUCUCUUUUUCCUCUCCAACCCGUGGCAGGGGAGGGGAAAGUGAACAAGCAGAGCACAGUUUGGAACGGCUUCAGUGGGAACACUAAAAUGUGGAGUACCAUUCCUGAACCAUGACACACAUUCAUUAAGAUUACCCACCAAGCAGUUUCAGAGGAACAUCAGCUGAGAUAAAUAAAACAAUGCUCCUCAUGUUAAUGGUGUACUGUGCCAUGAAAGAGUUGUUCCAUAAGAAAACCAGAUGGGCUGUGCAUCAUUUACCAAACCCUGCCAUCUUGCAAAUUCAGGAUCACACAGACUUGAACGUUUGCACUGUGAACCAUGAUAGCAACUGUCCCUUCUGAGGUCCAAGCCAUCAGACAGGUAUUACUGACAGACUUGUUCGACACAUCAGCGGAUGGUUCAGCACAACCCCAGUUCUGACCGACACCUGAUCCACACCAGGAUUAAACACGGCUCUGGGAAGGAUCCUCUGCCGUAAGUAGCAUUUUAGACAACAUCUUUUAUUCCCAAGCUUCUACCAAUUCAUUCCCCCAGUAAAACUGAAAUGGCAGUUCUCCUGGAAGCUGAAUUUCCACAUCCCUGCAGAGGAAAGAGCAAAUUCACAGCAGAGGCUGAUAAGCUCUGCUUGCCAAUUCUGAAGUACUGACAUCAACACAAGCAGCAGUAAGACCCCCAGUUCUCUUCCCUAUGUGAACCCCACACAACUUACUGAGAAACCUUUCAUUUAUGCUGCAUCAAGAAGCUUGAGAAAUUAUUGAAAGUGCAGGAUUUGAGUUUUCUCUCUUUCUGGUACAUCAUGGGAGGUUGCUCCUCCUAGCUCUAGCUUCUUCCUCUAGUUUGAAAAACUUUUAAGGUGUUCUUCAGUUGUUAAGGUAGUUUUUCAGAACAAACAGCAGGCUUUAUCUCUACAAGGCAAUAAAUCCAGAAAAAACCUACAAACUUACUGAGCAGCAACAAUAUGGCUUGUGCUCAAAGAAAUUGUUAUUGUCAGAAUUUAGAAGAACCAGACUCAGAACAACAUCCUUACUACAUGAUCUGAAUGGCAGAGGGACACUUCAUCACUUCAGGUAAACAGUGACCCACCAAAACCCUCAUCAGAGACAGCACAGGGAGGAGUGUUCUCUUUUUCCUGUGAUCGUAUGUGAUACUGCAAAAUAAACCUAAAUAUUUCUCAAGAAGUUUCCAGUCACACCAUUUACACUUGAUCUUAUCUCACUCCACGGUGAAACUUCAUAAAAAUGUUAGUGUCUGAUUUGUUUCAAACAAUUAACAUCAAGGCUAGCCAACAAAAUGAUCCCAUGCCUAAGGUUACUUCAAAUCCCUGAAGCCCUCUGACACAACAAAAUCACUGAAUAUAAAUCCUGCAGGUUAAGAUGAACACUCAGUUUCAUUGCUAUCGGGUCAAGAUGCACAUUUGUGCUUAGAGAACAUCUGGGAAAUCCACAGAAAUCAUCCCUGGCCAGUGCCAGAGAAAGCACUCCACUGCUCCCAGAGACACUAGCGACCUGUUUACCCUGGGACAAGAGGAGGUAAAAAGUUCCCUGUCUUGGGGCAGCUCUGAAAAGCUUACGCCCUUGUUUAUGAUGUGGCAACUGCGGCCCUUGCCCAUACAUUAAGGUGUUAAGGAUCUUCUCCUUUAUUUAUGGUACCCACAUUCAUUUCAGCAUAGCACCCCACAACACAUUAGGAUCAAAGCAAAAUACAUAAAUGUAUUAGAGUUAAUUUCAAGCAUAUAUUAUACUGAAGAAGAAUUUUUAUCCUAUCCAGAUCAUAACUUGCAGCAAAGAUUUUGUUGAAGCUACAAACUCUAUGCCUUUUACUACUUCAGCAUUUUCUAAUGCUGAAGAAUAAACUCCCUUUAAAAUAUAAGCAAUGUUUUUUCCCCUGAAUGCUCAAGUGUCCCGAUACCAUCAAAUGGCAUUUUGGAAUGGGAGCUGCUGUGGCUUUGAGCACUGUUAAUUGACACAAGCAAGGGCUGAGCCAGGCACAGGCAAGGGAGUUGUGCAACAGGCAUCGUCUGUUCCCUCCACACGAUCUCAGUGAGGUUUGCUUUUUGAAAGUAUCCAGAAAGCUGAUUACACAGAAACAGCAAUAACAGCCUGAAUGAAGGCUGGGGAUACUUCCAUUUACAUUGGUGCCAGUUUUUAAAGAUAAUUUAAUUUAUACCUUGUAUUAUCUUGUUGGAAGCUUGUGUGGCUAUGCCAGAACAAGUCCCUGUUAGAGGUGUGGCUCAGAAACUUGAAAGACCUAAAUUUCUGAAACCCUCCCCAAAAUGACACCUGAAGAUCAUUAUCAUGCUCAGUAGCUAUAGUUUCAGAGAACUAUUUUCCCUGGUACCUCCAAAAGACACUGAUCCCAGUGUGAUCUGUGGAGGCCAGAAGAGACACAAUUCCUGCUGCACUUCCCUGAGGACACCAAUUGCAGCAGAACCCUUGAACGCAUUCAAGUAUUAGUAAGAGAAAGAAUAAAAAACAAGUAGUUCCUGUUAUUGGCAUAUUAAUUAAAAACACACUAUAUACAUAUUUCAAGGCAAUUGUAAGCUGACCCAUUAGGAUUAUUCCCUUACCACUGAAACAACUGAAUGCACAACCAGAAGUAGGACAUCACUAAUUUCACUGAAAACUGACAUUAUGAUUUCUUACUGAAGGACAUUCCAUUUGAGCAAUAAAUUAAGCUUUGCUUUUUUUAUUGUUAGUUUUUUGGUUUGUUUUUUUUUUCCAUUGCCAUUAUGGCUAUUCUUCCAGUCAUUUUCUCAACAGCCAUCAAGUAUAAAUUUACAUACAAUAAGCCAAAACUAGAUAAUUUCCAUAGGGGAACAGACCUCCCAAACUGGUGGAAAAGCUGCCUGGGUGGCUCAGCAAAACCAUGCCUCAGCAGAAGUCCUCAUGUAUUUUCAUACUGAAAGGUGUUGAGAUGUGCAGUGCAGAAAUGCUGAUGAUUACAACAGACUCAUUACAAAUAUUGACAUCUUGUUCUAUAACUAUACCCCAUAUAAUGGAAUUUUAUUCUGACUGGAAAAUGAAACAGAAAAGGCUUGUGACCAAAACUGGGCUUGGUAUUUAUCACCCACACUGAAAAUGUAUUCUGCUGUUCUAUAUGAAACAUUCAGAACAGCAUAAACUAAAACUUGAGAGACAGAAAUAGUAAUUUUCAUGAAAGAAAGGUCCUCUAGUGACUCAUCCAUCCAUCCCCGUGACUCAGUUUUCCAACAUACAGUGUAUUGGAACAGUGACCUGUGGCACCUGUGCAGGAUGUUUUCUGCAGCAGGACCUCCCCAAACUGACUCCUCACAUGAAGUAAGUCCAGGCCAAGGAUCUGCUGCAGAGGAGGAAGCUCUGAAACAGCUCCUGUAAAUAAAGGCCUUCUUCAGCAAUGUUCUAAACCAUCAAAGUUAAAUAGACACUCAGUGCACUGCUCACUCCAGGCAACACCACAGGUGCCAGACACUCUGUCCUGCAGGUGAAAGCCAUUGCACUGUAUUCAAGGAAAGGAUGGAAAGGAAAGCACCUGGUGGGAGCUGUAAGGCGAUGAAUGAAUGAGAAACCUGUGUGAGAUCAAGAAUCUGGCUCUGUCAUUUAACUCCCCACAAAGUAUUUUCUCUCAAGCCCCACCUUCACUGUUUUUUAAUUCCUCUCAUUUCCCUCUCUCCUCUGCACCCUUCUCUCACUGCUUUCCUACAGGGCCACCCAGUUUGUGGUAAAAGCCAGCAGAAAUGAACUCGUCCUGUGAUGGUGAAGGAGGAGCUGUGUGAGAAGUGUCAGGGAGGGCCCCAGAGAUGGGCAUUUUAGCCACACACAAGGCACCGAUGGUAGUCCUGCAAGGCAGAGACGGGAGCUGUGGAGCCAGGGGCAGGCACAGCCUCAUCACUACUCAGCUGAGGUCAAGCAUCAGCUAAAUAAAGAGAAGCUGCAAAUUAAAGAAGAAUCUGCAAGGGCCAGGAUUCAUAUGAUAAAAUGGUCACUGUGGAAAUGGUGAAGAAACUUUAUGACUUCCUGUAUCAUGCCACUAUUUCAGGGCUUUAGACUCACCCCUGUGGCCUGAUCCCCUCCUCCUGUUUGUCUUGUACAGAUUCAGAUAAACUUUAAAAUGAAGGAAAACCAGCCUAUUUUGCUAAUUUUGAGCUGUGGAAAAAAUCCAGUGAGGGUGUGUAUACAUAUGACUGAUGGAAAUCAAACCUCUGAAGUGCAGAUUAUUUUAAUUAUAGUCAGAAAAGCAUGUAAGGUGCAAGUUUCAGCCAGAUAGUUUCCAUUCUGAUCUUUAAUUUUGUAGUAAUAAAAAUACUUGAGCACCUCUGUCUAGCUGAAAGAAUAACAAGUUGUCUGAUUUGUUAUGGCAGCUGGGACACUAAGUAACAAUAUACACAAGGAGAAAUUAUAUACAUAUCUGUACAAAAUAAGGCAUCGCCAGCUCUCACUCGUGCACUCUCUCCACGUGUCUUUCCCUGUAAGGCAGCCACUGAAGGGAGAGGUUUAGUGAACAGUGCUAUUGAUUGUUUUUCCCCUACUACAGCCCGAUUUUCUUUGAAAAGAACCAAGCUUCUAGAGGUUUCUAAGUGCUUGUGAACUUGCAAAACACACUUGACAAAAGUCUAGCAAGCAAUCCUCCGAAUUGCAACAGAUGCAAGCAAACUACACCACAAAUUGGAUUUACCCUUUGCAACAUGUUAUACUCAGCUAUGGUGAGAGCUCAGGGUAUAAUGACUAUUAGUAGCUACAUCACAGAUUUGUUUCCACAACAUACUCAUUCUAUUAUUGACCUAGAUUAGUGAAAUUAUGCAAGGAUUAAGGCUUUGAACAUCUUCAGUGGAAAGUGCUACUUUAAAAUCAGACACAUUUUGGCAGUUUCAAUUGCAGUCAAGAUCCUCCAGCCCUAAGAUGGUGUUUGACUGCUUCUCUUUCUACCCGAGUGGUUUUUAUACAUAUAAAUGCUACUAAAACCACACCUAUAAACUCCAUGUAAUGCUAGUUAUUUUAUACAUAUAAAACCUUGACAUACUCCAAACUCUUAAUGUAGCUGUUGCAUAGCUGGUUUGUAUUCCUUUGUGUUCUUCAAUCUGUUGUUCAGAGAAACUGGUGUUUCGUUUCACGGUUAAGAGAACUUAAUCACUUGAAUCGUGGAGACAGGAAAGGUAAGGGAAGUAGAGAAAACAUCUCUCACAUUUUAAACUCAUCUUCCACAAGCUAAUUUAACAGUAUAACCUGAAAGCACAGAAAUCUGAAAUCUAGUUCUGAAUGUCUUUUUACCUCUCUCUCAAGAGAUAUUACUCAGAUUUACUGUGACAUUUCAAAAUGUCACCAAGCCUAUCUCAAAACCAGAUAUUUUAACACAGAAUAGAUACCUACCUGCUUUAAUUCAGAACCCAUUCUAUAUGUGGUGAUAUUCAAAGAACUUCUUCUCAGAAGUUCCUACUUACUAAGUAUUAAUUAAAUACUCUUCUCAUCCAAUGACAAAAAUCCUUAUUUAUCUGGAAAUAAAGACAGACUCAAACUUUGUUUUAUUUUUUAAUAAAGUUUAAAUAGUUAAAGUAAGAGGAAAGAGUAUGUUUUAAAGCCAAGCUAUUUCUUUGUUCCAUGCUAGGCCUUAAAGUCAGAUUUACCGCCAAACAUGGGCCAUGAGAAGAGCUGUAUACUUAAAAUGCUGGUGUAGAAUAUAUUAAAAUAGCCAGUGACCCACUCCAGAUUACCUUAAAACACAGGAAACACAAUCUUCUACAGUUUUUGAAAUGUAUUGCCUCUUAUCCUGAUUAAUGGAAAAAUUAUCCCUACAAAAGUUUGGGGUCUUUUUAAAUAUGAAGACUCUACAAAAUAUUUGCUUUCUCCAUUGGGAGGACUUUGAAAAUCUCCAAAAUAUUUAGAUAUGUGUGCCUAAGGAAGUUUAUAAAUGCCAAUCCAACACUGUAACAAAAAUUCCAAACAGAACUGGGAAUUAGAAUGACUGAACUAAAUCAUCCCACCAUAAGAAUAUUAUAUUUCAAUUCUGCAUAAACACAGACCAGCAUGGUUUGUUUUGUUUUAAAAAUUCUUCACGUCCUGCAAAAUACAGCAUAGGUUUGUUUCAUUAGUACCUUUACCCUUCCAUUUCCUUAAUGCUAUUUCCUCAUUAACGUUUUAAACAGUAUCUAAUCUGUCUACCGUCGUUUUCUGCCCUCAGGGCUCUUCUUCGCCUCAACCCUAUCCUCACCCAUGGAGAUCCUUCCUCCCUCUGGCUUCAGAAAGAGGUUUUUGUUCAUUUGAUUGAUUUUCAUUUUCUUCUUUUUCAGAUACAGGUAAGUAUCCUACCAUAAAGGGAGCAUGGAAACCAAUGGGAACAGCACUGGGAAUUACCAAGACAUUUACAAGUCAAGACUGUGAGUAGGAGCUUCGACAGCCACUAUUUUUGAAAGAAAAAUGUCAUGCUUUCUUUAUACUGGAUAAUAUUUGACAGAUUGGAUAAUAUGUCUACUAUAAACAUAGUUUUGUGCCACGAACAGCCACAAACUGCAGACAAUGCAAUAGAGCACAGAGUUUGAUAAAUUUAGCGUAACACAAAAAAAAAAAUUGGUAGAGUUUGAGUAGCAUCUGCAAUGGUAACAAACAUUUAGAAACCAAAAUGAUCCAAAUAACCUAAAAAUACAUCUGCUACACUAAGAAAAAAUCUGUGCAAUGAGAUGAGAAGCUUCCAAAUUGUGGACUGACUGCUCAGGGACCACAAAUAUAAGAACGUAUUAGCUUGGAAAAGCCUCAGCUUUCCAAAACUCAAAACCAUUAAAAAGCAAUCUGUUCAUCAUUCUAUGAUUUAACUGUUUCCUAGUCUAUGGGAAUAAACAGCAGGAUACAAUCCUGUUUGCAACAUCCAUGUAACUUUUUUUUUUUUUUUAAAAAAAACUUUUUAAAGUAAAUUAAGAAAAUAUAUUCUUAAAGAAAAAAAUUUAGAUGAGCACAAAGAAAUGCCAUGAUGACUCCUGAGACAAAUUAUCCUACAUCGUUGCUAGUCUAUGAAAACUGGUUUGAAUAAUAAACACACUGGAGUAUUCAGUGACAGCAUACAAAAGUAUUUGUAAUUAUUAAGUUGUGCAUGUUUUUAACUGACAAAACAUGCUCACGGGCUUACUCUAAAAUCUCUCACUGCUUGUUAUCAAAGUUAAAAGAUCAUUUGCAUACCAAUACAUAUACUGUAAACAUGAACUUCUCAUUAAGGAAAGAUGGAUUUACAGUAAUUUGAUCUUUUACAAAAAGCUAUUGGUAACCAAAUCUCUCAGUGUCUAACUUUCUAGAAAAUUAAACCAAUGUUUCCACCCUCAAAGCUGAAACACUACCUCUUUAGGAAACAGCCCUGUUUAUUUGUUAAUCAGAAAUACAAUCAAGUGGCAUAUUUCCAUUUGCUCUUCGGCUGACAGUUUCAGUUUAAUUAUAUUU
Molecule: non-coding RNA, 10162 nt
Organism: Cyanistes caeruleus (blue tit)
Lineage: Eukaryota; Metazoa; Chordata; Aves; Passeriformes; Paridae
Source: RefSeq, a predicted model, not a curated record